Molecule: unclassified non-coding RNA, 896 nt
Filed under: Hevea brasiliensis (rubber tree)
Lineage: Eukaryota; Viridiplantae; Streptophyta; Magnoliopsida; Malpighiales; Euphorbiaceae
Source: RNAcentral
CAUCAUCCAGAAGUUGUUCAAGCUCAUCUCUCACCUUUUGUACACGAGCAGUCAACCGUGUCAUUUGACUCUUUAAUUUCCGCACUCUAUCCAGAUUACGGCUACUAAUCUUUGAUGUCAGCAUAUCCAGAGCAGGGUAAACAGCAGUUUCCAAUUCUAAUGUGCGCGCAGCAAGGUAACUACAGAUGGCUUCCAAAGCGACCUCUAGGGCUCGGAAUUCAAAUGGAGACUCAUCUUCAUCAGUCGCUUCAAUAUCAUGCUGAACAUUGGAAUCUUUUUCCUCUCUCUGGUCUUCACGAUUUGCAUUCAUUGGCUUCAGUCGCCUUUUGAGUUCCUCAACAACGGGAGUAACAUUGUCAUCUGAUGGAUCCCGAAGAAGAACCUCUUCAGAUGUAAUAAUAGCCUUGAUAUGCUCUAAAUUAAGAACAAUAGCUCUUUCACGGCCAAGAAUGGCGGAAGGAUAAGAAAGGAGUGGAUCAAUAAUCCGAAGAUCACGAGCGUGAAUUUGCACGCGAUGCAUGAUCUCAUAUUUAUCAACAUCUAAAACAGUUUCCAAUCCUGAUGCAUCCAUCAAAAGCCAACUCCUUGCACCCGCUCCCUUCUUCUUCAACCCACCCACCACCGUACCUGGAUCCACCGGCACCACAUGCCCACCUCCUUCUCGACCCAUUAUCAUCAUCAUCAACAACACCAAUAAUCAUUCAACCUCAACAGAAAAUACCCUUUUACACACAAUCAACCAUUACCAGAAUUAUUUUUUUCCACAAUUUGUAUGCAUAUAUGAAUGUAUAUAGAGUAUAUUAAAGAACUUUCUCUGUCGUUUUCUGUACAGAAAAAUUCAAGAAAAAAUAAACCCUAAUUCAAAGAAAUUAUUAGGGUUUUUGGGUGUAAAUUGG